RNAcentral lists this ribosomal RNA (634 nucleotides) under uncultured Actinomycetes bacterium. Its description in RNAcentral is "bacterial SSU rRNA". It matches the Rfam family "Bacterial small subunit ribosomal RNA", at positions 244 to 888 of the family's 1533-position model. The record is from RNAcentral. Lineage: Bacteria; Bacillati; Actinomycetota; Actinomycetes.
GCUUGUUGGUGAGGUAACGGCUCACCAAGGCGACGACGGGUAGCCGGCCUGAGAGGGUGACCGGCCACACUGGGACUGAGACACGGCCCAGACUCCUACGGGAGGCAGCAGUGGGGAAUAUUGCACAAUGGGCGCAAGCCUGAUGCAGCAACGCCGCGUGAGGGACGACGGCCUUCGGGUUGUAAACCUCUUUUAGUAGGGAAGAAGCGAAAGUGACGGUACCUGCAGAAAAAGCACCGGCUAACUACGUGCCAGCAGCCGCGGUAAUACGUAGGGUGCAAGCGUUGUCCGGAAUUAUUGGGCGUAAAGAGCUCGUAGGCGGUCUGUCGCGUCUGCUGUGAAAACCCGAGGCUCAACCUCGGGCCUGCAGUGGGUACGGGCAGACUAGAGUGCGGUAGGGGAGAUUGGAAUUCCUGGUGUAGCGGUGGAAUGCGCAGAUAUCAGGAGGAACACCGAUGGCGAAGGCAGACCUCUGGGCCGUAACUGACGCUGAGGAGCGAAAGGGUGGGGAGCAAACAGGCUUAGAUACCCUGGUAGUCCACCCCGUAAACGUUGGGGACUAGUUGUGGGGUCCAUUCCACGGAUUCCGUGACGCAGCUAACGCACUAAGUUCCCCGCCUGGGGAGUACGGAAU